UACGAAAGGUGCGAGCGUUAAUCGGAAUUACUGGGCGUAAAGCGCGCGUAGGCGGUUUGUUAAGUCAGAUGUGAAAGCCCCGGGCUCAACCUGGGAAUUGCAUUUGAAACUGGCAGGCUAGAAUGCAGUAGAGGGAGGUGGAAUUUCCGGUGUAGCGGUGAAAUGCGUAGAGAUCGGAAGGAACACCAGUGGCGAAGGCGGCCUCCUGGACUGACAUUGACGCUGAGGUGCGAAAGCGUGGGGAGCAAACAGG
This 253-nucleotide ribosomal RNA is filed under the name uncultured bacterium. Its description in RNAcentral is "partial 16S ribosomal RNA". It matches the Rfam family "Bacterial small subunit ribosomal RNA", at positions 524 to 776 of the family's 1533-position model. The record is from RNAcentral.